This 451-nucleotide ribosomal RNA is filed under the name uncultured bacterium. Its description in RNAcentral is "partial 16S ribosomal RNA". It matches the Rfam family "Bacterial small subunit ribosomal RNA", at positions 29 to 523 of the family's 1533-position model. The record is from RNAcentral.
AACGAACGCUGGCGGCAGGCUUAACACAUGCAAGUCGAGCGGGCAUAGCAAUAUGUCAGCGGCAGACGGGUGAGUAACGCGUGGGAAUCUACCCAACCCUACGGAAUAACGCAUGGAAACGUGUGCUAAUACCGUAUACGCCCUAACGGGGUAAGAUUUAUCGGGGAUGGAUGAGCCCGCGUUGGAUUAGCUAGUUGGUGGGGUAAAGGCCUACCAAGGCGACGAUCCAUAGCUGGUCUGAGAGGAUGAUCAGCCACAUUGGGACUGAGACACGGCCCAAGCUCCUAGGGGGGGCAGCAGUGGGGAAUAUUGGACAAUGGGCGAAAGCCUGAUCCGGCCAUGCCGCGUGAGUGAUGAAGGCCCUAGGGUUGUAAAGCUCUUUCACCGGAGAAGAUAAUGACGGUAUCCGGAGAAGAAGCCCCGGCUAACUUCGUGCCAGCCGCCGCGGUAA